CCGGACCUUUUUGAAUUAAAGAAGUUGCAUUUCUUUGAUUAUAAAAAGCAUCUCUUGAAAUCUUAGCUUUGCCUGCGUUAAGGGAAGAAGGAGCAUGUCAACAGCCAGGAGGAGAUCCUGUUCUCAGAGACAGCGAUGCUCAGAAGCAAUGCAGUUGCGAAGAACAUCUUUGCCACACGAAAAUGCACUGCACCGCACGGUUAUUCUUUACCAGGUACAAUUUAUUUCUUCAUCAUGUUAGUGAAGCCAAAGAUUCAAGAUUUCAUUUUCGUUGGCUCUCAUUCAUUGAAGACAUGUUUCUUUUUUGCUUGUUAAUUACAUGACUGUUCUUUUCAUGAAUUGUUAAGUAGCAAGGAGAUAUGCCCAAAAUAUAUCAUGGGUAAUGCUUAGUGUUGUUUGUUGCUUGGCCUCCUCUACAACCGGAAUUCUAUGUUCCAGAAAUGCAUAUGUGUGUAAUUGGAAUCCAAAACAUGGGUGGAGCAUACUCUGGGCAGGAAAUUUGCUGGGUUUGUAAUUAUUUUAAGGUGCCAACCGACCACCACUGUGCUCUCAUGCAUAUAUUCAAACUUACAAAAGGCUGGGGUUGCCCAGAUGAGUUCUUUGUUGCUUUUGGUAGAAGGAAUUUUGACAAAAUAGAAACACAUAAACAAUUACUGCUUAUUAAGAAAUCACAAUUAUUAUCUUUCCCAGUUCCUGAUCUAAUCGUUUUGCUUGACUGCAGCCUCACUUGCGAACAUAUUUGGGAUCAUCCAAUUUUUGUAAUAAAAUUGUGAUCAUGUAGUACAGGUGGCGAUCAUCAUACGUGAUAAAUUGCACCAUUUCCAUGUGGGAUCCUGAGAUGUGGUUUUUAGGCAUGUUGAACAUGCUAGGAGGCCGAUACUGCCUCAACAGAGAGCAAGGCCAUAGGCCCAGUCCAGGAUUUCACCUAGGUUUUGUUGAAGGAUUAGGAGGAGAGCAAAGGUUCGAGGUUAACUUGGAAGUUCUGUUGGUGGUCUAGCAGUUUAUGCCUUAGCAUCUGCAAUAGAAAAGUUCUGCAAUGGUCGCAAGGCCAUAAACCGUGGUAAUGACGGAAGAAAGCAAAAAGUAGUUGAAAGAACUUUCCAAGAAAGAAGCAUCGGCAACAUUGCCUUGGAACCCAACGAGUCAUGAAUAUUAGAUUCUAAAUGUUGCUAGAACUGCAAUUCUUUGCUUUUACUGAUGAUUUCAAUAUCUUACAGGGUACAACCAAUGAUGUGACAGCCUUUCUAAUCCUUGGAAGAAGAAGAUAAAAGACUUAGCGACUCCGAUAUUUCAAGAGUGGGUCAAAAAUUUAAUACAGUGAUGGUGAUUAACAAGGGAGGGGAGGCACCCAUUUUUGUUAUUUGGACAGGGUACAACCAAUGAUGUGACAGCCUUUCUAAUCCUUGGAAGAAGACAGAUAAAAGACUUAGCGACUCCGAUAUUGUAAGAGUGGGUCAAAAAUUUAAUUCAGUGAUGGUGAUUAACAGGGGAAGGGAGGCACCCAUUUUUGUUAUUUGGAAAAUUCAGGCAGUGCGACUACCAAUAUACUCAUGACUAGAGCAGAAGACCUCUUAAUUAGUAUUGGAAUAAUAACAUAAAAGGUUAGCCCUUAUAUUCACAUUUGCUGAAACUUGAUUACCAGUCUGAGGAUGCACAGCCAUUACAGUAAUGUUGAUGAAACAAUAUUUCUUCUUAUUUACUUUAGGAAGAAGCUGGUGAAUUCACGUCUACAUGUAGCCACUAGCUUUCGAUUGCUGCAAAUAUGCAUAUUGGGUAAUUGCACUUGUUUGAGGAGGUUGAGUGAUGUAAACAUAGACUAAGACUUGGUCAUGGGAAAUUUCUACUGAGGGUUACUUCCCUGCUUCAUAAAUUCCCCAGAAACUCGAAUAGGUACUCACUUCCUAUGUAUUUCCUUCAACUUUUUUAAAAUUCAUUUGCUUGUAUUCAUUUCUGCAUCUACUCCCAGUUUUGGCAACUAAGGUUUAAAGCAUGACAUACCUAGAGACAUGGUGUCAAAGGAUGAGCUUCUCAUAAUGGAAUCAUCGGAAUACAGAACAAAAUCAUAAACUUGCAAAAAUAAUGUGCUUGCUUCCUGGUACACCUUACAGAUUACUCCUUUGACUUCAUAACUUGAUUGUUGACUAGGCCAAUAUGACUGAAUUGCUUAUGAUGUUUAUAAGUUUUUCCAUUAGAUUACAGUUUCUUAAAUUUACUAACUUUUAAGAUGUUGAUUAUGUGGUAGUAAAAUUUGUCUUGGUACCUUUAUUUUUUGGUGCUAACAAGGUGACAAAAUGCUAUAAAAUAAUGAGGGAUUGUUAGUUCUUCUAAAACAGAGUGAUCAGAGUUUCUUCAAGUCCUCUUAUCAUGUCUAGUGAUUAGUAUAAUACCAGUUCUAUCAGGACAAACGACAUUUUCCUCUGGUCUCUUUCCUCGGCUCUUAGGUUGCUGUAGUUCAUACUUUUAAUUGCCCAAUUAAAUUAGAGCAAAGAUCAUCUUUGCUUUUAUGCACUUUCCUUCUCUUGUCUAUUUGGAUUUGCAAUUGUGUAUCCACUACCAUUCUUUGGUAAUUUUGCUUGAGGUUAGGUUUAUGUCCUCAUUCUCUAUACAUCAUUUUCUUGAACUUUGUUUAAAUUCUGGAAGAUAAGUAAACAUGGAAAUAAAGGAAAUCAAGUAAUAGAUUGUCUUGUAAGAGAAUGGGCAGACAUAAGGCACACACAUUGGAUUUCCAGUGUUUCUGAGGGUUUGAUAAAAAAUGCAGGUGUUACAUCCAUGAUGAAAAAUCUUUAUAAUUUUGCAGAAAGACCAUAAUUGUUCAAGAUAUUCAUCAACCUUCUUCUGCUUACCUUCAUACAUUUAUCUAGGUUCAAGUUCUGUAGUCGACACCUCAUUUGGUGACACUGGUAUUAACUUGCUUGAAGAUUUGUCAUGCGUACCUCUAGAUAAAUCAACUUCAUUUGAAUAAGCAUAUGAAUCAAUGCCACUCUUUCCAAUGCAAAAUGCUGGUCUAGAAGGAGCCGGGAGAGACACAGAGAUACUGCUGAGCAUCACAACAACUUGUAACAUAUUGGGUCUAUCAGAUGGAUUUUUCUGGACGCACAAUAAGCCAAUCUGAACACAUCUUAACACUUCGCCUCUUGGGCAAUGGUUGCCUAAAGAUGGGUCCAAUAUCUCCAAAAUUGUUCCUUUGACCCACCGCUCCCAAACCUGCAUGAAAUGAAUUUAUUCAGUCAUCUGGGACAGAACAACAGUUGUUUUUAUGCAAUUGAAAACUCACAUAGCUCACUGUAUCUUCAACAUAUUCAGAAUUAGAACAAUCACUGUUUUUUCUGCCUGUAACGAUCUCUAAAACCAGAACACCAAAGCUGUAUACAUCUGACUUGAUAGAAAACUGCCCAUGCACGACAUACUCCGGUGCCAUAUACCCACUGUAAUAAAAUGAGUAUAUUAUUUAAAAUACUCUUUAAUCAACCAUCACUGGAAUGCAUAGGUAAUUCUUUCAGAUAGAGAAUGCUUAGGUUAUUCAAGAUUUCUACUUACAAUGUUCCAACAACUUGGUUCGUGGUGCACUGACUUUGGUCUCCACCAAAAAGCCUAGCCAAACCAAAGUCUGAAAUCUUUGGGUUCAAAUCUGCAUCUAAUAAGAUAUUGCUGGCUUUUAAAUCCCGAUGUAUAAUUUUUAAUUGAGAUUCUUCGUGCAGGUACUGUAGGCCUCGAGCAAUCCCGCCAAUGAUCUUGUUCCUUUUCUCCCAGUUUAGCUGUUCACGCUUCUCAGGAUCUAUAUCAUACAAACUUGAUAAUCAAUUAAGAAUGAUCAAUUAAGGCAAUACAUAUUAGAGUAAGUCCAAAGAGGGCUUGAACAUAAGAUGGUCAGACAUUUGUUUCUUCUGCACUAACAAAAGGGUUACACUAGAAACACAACUAGAUUUAGUUGGAAGAGGAGAGCCUACAUUUAAACAAACACCAAAGUUGGAGGUUCAGUAUUAAGUUAUAGUUCAACUAUAUUAUGGUCGCUGCAUACGUUUCUAAAGAUGGUCAGUUUUGAGUGGAUGAAGAAAUUAUACCAAAAAGAAUGUUGUCCAGACUUCUGUUAGGCACAUAUUCAUAAACAAUCAACUUCUCUUGUUCUUCCAAGCAAACACCCAGAAGCCUUACAAGAUUCCUGUGCUGGAGUUUUGCAACUAAAACUAGCUCAUUUCUCAGCUCUCUGAAUCCUUGUGAUGAACUAGCUGAUAACCUCUUCACUGCUAUUUCUCGUCCAUCAGAUAGUAGUCCCUAUACAGAAUUAUAAGGUUAACAGGAAUUAUAUAGAACCAGAAGAAAUUAAAGAUAAAUAUAGAACUGAUUUGGAUCAAGAAGAUUACGUAUGAUAAAUUUUUAUAUUGGAGUACAAUUCUAUUGAGAUUAGAUAUAAAGAAGUUGAUGCAAUAGGCUACCAUGAUACCUUGUAAACUGCACCAAAGCCACCUUCUCCAAGUUUGUUCUCUUCAGAGAAGUUAGCUGUUGCAAAUCGUAGUGUAGAUAUAUCAAGUAAUAGGGAAUCGACACUUACGAUUUCCUCCGGGUGACUCCCAUCUACUGAAAGUGCACGGAAUUUUGAUACAAUUAUAAAAAAAUGCUUUUGAAUCUUACAAAUAAUGAUAACAAGAUGAUAUAAUUGGACCAGAAAAAAAUUUGGAAGAUGAUGUUGCUUAAUUAAACCAAAACAACUCUAAAUCAAGACCAAUAUAUAAGUCGUUGCCUCUAAAGGCAGCGACUUGUGGACUGCUGGACCUAGUUAUUGCAGGCUUAUUAAAGGCCAUUGAAAUAAUAAUCAAGCAAUGCGCACUUUUUAUUGCUUACAGUAAACCUUUCUGGUCAUAACUUCUAUAGUUACUUCACCUAAGAUUUCAUCCUUUUUCCCUCUUGGUAGAACUUGCUCAAGCUCUCCAACAAAAAUGUAAAGACUGGAUAUUUUGUGAAACAAUAGAAAGCAUUUAAUUCAUGGGUUACUUACAUGGUAACUUUACCAAUGGCUUCCUCCUCGUCGAGAAACAAAUGCAAAUUAUGGAGAUAAGCAUGAAUGCAGUUACUAGAGGUAUCGCAAUAGCAAGGACCAUAUCGAUGACCUUGUUCUUCUUUCCUGCAUUGAUAAAUGACCACAUUCAUCUGCAUUCCUAUAUCAACAUAGCACAUUGACGAUAACAAGACAUGGAGCCAUUGAUUAAGACAUACAUCAUAUUAGUGCAUCUUUAUUGUGUGUUACAAAUGUUUGUGGCAUGUAUGGCAAUUGAGGCCGGUCAUAUUGUUGGAAAGCUUUUAUUAGUAUUUGCCCUAUAAACCUUAUGAUUCUUGUCUGGCAGGCUUGUUGACUAGAGUGUCUCUGAUAAAUGGAUUGAGUUUGGAUACUUUGUGGUGAAUGUUUUACAACAUAGACAGUUGAAUAGUCCUCGAUCAUUGCCAUGUCAUUUGAUUGUAGAGAUAGACAACUAUCAAAUAUGGCAUCGUGUUGCAUUCCAAAUGUUGUACAUCACUAUUGGAUGCUAAACAGUCAUCUGUCUCUAUGAUAGGAUGUCAUGGCAGUGAUUGAGGGUUGUACAGUUCUCUCUGGUGCAAAGCAUGCACCAUAGAGGAUCCCAACUCAAGUGAGUUAGAUGUGAAGCAGAACUAGGGUUCCAAAAUGGAUUGCCAUUUAAAAGAAAUCCAUGUGCAAACUUUUCGUGCUCCUAGGUUAGUAAUCAGCAUGUGAUCCUAUGGAAGUGUUAAUUUGGUGCAAUUAUGAUAGUGUGAACUACCUUUGAUCAAACAAUGAUAUACUUGUGCUAGCUGGCAAACCCUUAAAUUAAAGAAAGGUUAUUACUUUCGCUGGUUUGUGGAAAUAACCCUUGUAUAUUACAACACCAAGCAUUAGUGCCUUGCUCUAUUGCUUAUAUAAUAUUGCUUUCUUUUUUUUUCACUAGAGGCCAAUAAGGAAGAGUUGAUCUUUACUGUUACUUUAAAAAGUUUUUUGUAUGUAUACCCUCAUAAAUAUACGAAAUUAUAUAAAUACCCUUAUAAAAUUACUAUUUGCAUAUAUAUUCUUUUUUUUCUUUUUUGCAUAUAUACCUAAACCAUUUAAUGUCGCUAAAAAAUAAAAUGACUGAAAUAUCUUUAUGGAUAGAUAUGCAAAAGAAAGAUGUAAGGUAUGCACACAAAUAACAACUUUAUGAGGGUAUUCAUGCAAUUUCUCAUAUUUAGAAGGAUAUAUAUUCAAAAAAUUAUUAAAAAAAUUAAAACUUAGUUGAAAUUUGCCAAGUCUUUUAUGAUUCAGUUGGAUGGACAAGUCAAAAAAAGAUUGAGUCAUAUUGUCAAUUUUUUUUUUAAGAUAUUGACUUAGUCAAGUUGGAAUAUUAGGUGAUCAUUUUUGUAAUGUUAUUCUUCAUUUGAUUUUGAUAUAACUAUCAUUUUUGUAUCUAUGACAUCUACAUAUUCUUCAUUAUUUUUAAAAGAUUAAAACAUAUUGAAUUUAAAUUAAUUAUAAAUGUUUAGAUUAGUAAAAUAUUUUUUAGUGAUUUGUAAAUAUUAAGUUAUUGUUUGUUUUUGAGGCAAGAAUUUCAUAAGAGCAAAAUAAUUUAUUCUAUAAGAGUUGAUAUUAACAUGAUUUAAUAAUUUUUAUUAUUUUUUAUUAAUGAAUUAUCUUUACUAGAUUUUGAUAAUUUUUUAAUAAUUUUUUAUAAGUGUAUAUCCUCCUAAAUAUGCAUAAUUGCAUGAAUACCCCGUUAAAGUUGUUAUUGCAUCUAUAUUCAUAUAAUUUUUUAUUUUAUUUUUUUUGCAUGUCUACCUGUAAAGAUAUUUCAGCCAUUUCAAUUUUAAAUCAUUUAUUUUUUAACGGUGUUCAAUAGUAUGGAUACAUAUAUUAAAAAAAAAGUUAAAGAAGAAUAUACAUACAAAAUAUGUGUUUUAUGAGGAUACACAAAUAAAUAACAAUUUUAUGAGAAUUUUUAUAUAUUUUAGAGGAUAUACAUGUAAAAAGUUCUACUUUAAAUCACCCAUCACUUCUCAACUAAAUUAUGCAGAAACAUGCGUUUAGCCAAACAAAACAAAAAGAAAAUGUAGCCAUAAAACUCAAAUUGAUAGGAUGUUGGUAAACAGAUUAGAAAUGAUUGGAUGUCAAACAGAGUAGGAAGGACUCAUCUAUUCCCUAAUAAGUCACCGUCGAUAAACUAGUUUCACUAGUUCACUAGCACCGGUCGGCUACUCCCCUUACCGUCUUCCUCUGGUGUUUUGGUAGGUGGUGCGUUCUCCAGCGGCCCCCCAAGUCUUAGCGACGGUGCCCCGUCGAAGAUCUUGUAUAUUUCGUAC
This 7317-nucleotide long non-coding RNA is filed under the name Phoenix dactylifera (date palm). Its description in RNAcentral is "long non-coding RNA (PDAC_LNC007455)". The record is from RNAcentral. Lineage: Eukaryota; Viridiplantae; Streptophyta; Magnoliopsida; Arecales; Arecaceae.